UACAGAGACUGCGAGCGUUAUUCGGAUUCACUGGGCGUAAAGGGUGCGCAGGCGGCCGGGUGUGUCAGAUGUGAAAUCCCGAGGCUUAACCUCGGAACUGCGUCUGAAACUACUCGGCUAGAGUAUUGGAGAGGGUAACGGAAUUCACGGUGUAGCAGUGAAAUGCGUAGAUAUCGUGAGGAACACCAGAGGCGAAGGCGGUUACCUGGACAAUUACUGACGCUCAGGCACGAAAGCAUGGGGAGCAAAAGGG
Molecule: ribosomal RNA, 253 nt
Filed under: uncultured bacterium
Lineage: Bacteria
Description: partial 16S ribosomal RNA
Rfam family: Bacterial small subunit ribosomal RNA
Source: RNAcentral